This 1761-nucleotide long non-coding RNA is filed under the name Homo sapiens (human). Its description in RNAcentral is "novel transcript". Lineage: Eukaryota; Metazoa; Chordata; Mammalia; Primates; Hominidae. The record is from RNAcentral.
GCUAAUGAAUGAAUGUGAUCAUUUAAAAGAAAGUCUCUUUCAGUAUGAGAGAGAGAAAACAGAAGUAGUAGUGGUUGUGAGACAACUUCAACAAGAAGUGGCUGACAGCGUAAAAAAAUUAACGACGUUAGAGUCUCCACUGGAAGGUAUAUCACGUUGUCACAUUAAUUUGGAUGAGACACAGGCCUCAAAUAAGAAAUUAUUUCAAGUGAAAAGUCAAAUAUAAGAAACUCCUGGAAAUGACAAUAAAUAUGUUAAAUGUAUUUGGAAAUGAAGACUUUGAUUGCCAUGGAGACUUAAAAACAGAUCAACUGAAAAUGGAUAUUCUGAUUAAGAAGCUAAAACAGAAGUUUGAUGAUCUUACAGCACAGAAGGAAGCUUUAUCUUCAAAAUGUGUCAAUUUGGCUAAAGACAAUCAAGUUCUUCAACAGGAGUUUUUAUCUAUGAAAAAAGUACAACAGCAAUGUGAAAAACUUGAGGAGGAUAAAAAGAUGUUGAAAGAAGAAAUAUUAAAUCUUAAGACACAUAUGGAAAACAAUAGGGUAGAAAUUAGUAAACUACAAGAAUAUAAAUUGGAGCUAGAUGAAAAGGCAAUGCAGGCAGUAGAAAAAUUAGAAGAAAUCCAUUUACAGGAACAAGCACAAUAUGAAAAACAAUUAGAGCAGUUAAACAAGGAUAAUAUGGCUUCACUAAAUAAAAAGGAACUCACACUUAAAGAUGUGGAAUGUAAAUUCUCAGAAAUGAAAACUGCUUAUGAAGAGGUUACAACCGAAUUAGAAGAAUAUAAGGAAGCCUUUGCAGCAGCAUUGAAAGCUAACAAUUCCAUGUCAAAAAAGUUAACAAAAUCAAAUAAGAAAAUAGCAGUGAUUAGCAUGAAGCUCCUCAUGGAGAAAGAGCAGAUGAAAUAUUUUCUCAGUGCUCUUCCUACAAGGCGAGACCCAGAGUCACCUUGUGUUGAAAAUCUUACUAGUAUAGGACUCAACAGAAAAUAUAUUCCCCAAACACCCAUAAGAAUUCCUAUUUCAAGCCCACAGACUUCAAAUAACUGCAAGAACUCCUAGACUGUGAUGGAGCUGGACUGUGUAGAACAAAUAACUAGAGAAACAAAGAGAAUUGUUGCUGUGUUGAACACUUGCUCCCGUCUACUUACUUCUCUAUAAUCCACUGCCAUGGAAUGAGUGAUUUUUCUUAGAAGCAGAGGUGGAGCCACUGAGGAAGCACAGGCGAGCCCUCCCCAGCACGUGAUCACUGGUCCCCAACAGAACAACCGCUGCCGCAUCCAUGAGGCUCCCAUUGUGGUGGGUUGUGUCACCCCACAAUGUCACUGUUGCUGAGCCCCCAUCGCCUCUGUGUUGUGGAGCAGUUAGAGACACACUGUGGUGUCUGAGUGGCUCUGUGUGAAGGACCGUUUUCUAGGUGAGAGGCACAUCUCAACACAGCUGACUGAUCAGACUCAGCCGUUUUGCACACCCUGGUCAGAAUGAAACAUUCCUUGGGAACUCGGGCCGUGAGAAGCAUCCUUCCUGAUCACCUGACUGUAGAAACAUCCUUAUCGCACCCUCCCGGGCAAAGGCCCAACAGCCUGACUGCAGGAACAUCCUUGCCAUAUCCUGCCGGGCAGCAAGCUCUACCGCCCACACCCCUCCUUCCCAGUCCCAUGAUCACCCCAGCCUGUGAGAGGCAGUUGGUGCUGGCAGUAAGCUGGUUUCCUCCUCUGCAGGGUUUUGCUAGUAAUAAAGGUGUUGCUGUUGAAGCCGUCAA